GGGGGUGGUUCCGGUCUGGUGGCCGGCACGGACUUCAAACCCGAUUGUGAGGCGGUUUGCGCCGUCUCAGGUGUGUUCGAUUCGCACACAUCCCCGCCA
This 99-nucleotide transfer RNA is filed under the name Oscillospiraceae bacterium. Its description in RNAcentral is "tRNA-Sec". It matches the Rfam family "Selenocysteine transfer RNA". The record is from RNAcentral. Lineage: Bacteria; Bacillati; Bacillota; Clostridia; Eubacteriales; Oscillospiraceae.